GACUCCGUGGCGCAACGGUAGCGCAUCUGACUUCAGAUCUGAAAGUUGCGUGUUCAAAUCACGUCGGGGUCA
Molecule: transfer RNA, 72 nt
Filed under: Blattella germanica (German cockroach)
Lineage: Eukaryota; Metazoa; Arthropoda; Insecta; Blattodea; Blattellidae
Description: tRNA-Sup (TCA) (tRNA-Sup-TCA-3-1)
Rfam family: tRNA
About the family: Transfer RNA (tRNA) molecules are approximately 80 nucleotides in length. Their secondary structure includes four short double-helical elements and three loops (D, anti-codon, and T loops).
Source: RNAcentral